UUUUUAAAUAAAAAUAAAAUAAAAUAAAAUAAAAUAGAUAAAAUCUAAAGUUUGCACAAAUUUCAGUACAUUAACCUUAGUUGAAUUAUCAUCAUUAUUAAUAUAGCUCUAGCAAAAUGGAAAUGCUAGGGUACAAAUUGCAGGCCAUUAGCCUUUAGAUGCAUUUCACAGCUCUAGACCAAGCUACUAGAUGGAGCUGCUGGUUGUUGUUGAGUGAUGCAAUGAACAUUGCCACCACCCAAAACGAUCUCCCUUGCACCUUCAAUUCUCACCACCUCAUGAUUUGGGAAAGCCUGAGAGAGGACACGGACAGCUUCGUCAUCCCACUUCUGGUCCCCAUAUUGAGGUGUGAUGAUCCCUCCGUUGGCAAUAUAGAAGUUUACAUAAGAUGCAGCAAGUCUUGUGUUUGGUGGUCUCGGUUUAGCCUCACCAUCUUGAAUAACUCCAGCAGAUUCUUCCUCCGUCAUAUAUAGUGGCCCUGGAACAUGGAGUUUAAUUAUCUGGAAUUUCCUUCCUUUAGCAUCAGUAGCAUUGGAGAGAACAGUGAAGGCUUCCAUGGAUCGUUCAAACUGAAAAUCCUUUUCAUCAUCAGUCCAUGACAGUAAAACUGUACCAGGCCUUACAAAGCAGCACAUAUUGUCAAUAUGACCGUUAGUGUCAUCAUCACCAUAUAAUCCACGAGGCAGCCAAAUAACCUUCUGGACUCCAAGAUAUUCCUUAAGUUGAUUUUCUAUUUGUUCUUUGGUUAAAUCUGGAUUCCGGUUUUUAUUCAAGAGGCACUCCUCAGUAGUAAGGCAUGUCCCUUCUCCAUCUACAUGGAUGCUUCCACCUUCAAGAAUCAUGGAAUGAGGAAAUCGUGGAAGCUUCUCAAUUCCAAGAAUCUUCCUUGCCACAAGAAGGUCAAGACUCCAAUCUUGGUAACAACCAUCAUCAACCCCUCCCCAACUGUUAAAAUUCCAAUCAAUGCCUGCAACCUUUUGCUCUGGGGGACCAGAAUUUGAUGCAUUCACCACAAAAGUUGGCCCAGUAUCACGAAACCAAGAAUCAUUCAUGCUUAUCUCAAUAACUCUAAUAUGUUCUGGUAGAAGUCUUCGUGCAUUUUCCCACUGAGCUGCACUAGCACAGACAGUCACAGACUCAAACUUUGAAAUUGCUAUUGCAACCUCGGCAAAAAUACGUUGUGCAUGUACUGCAUUGUUUCUCCAGUUAUCUGCACGUUCAGGCCAACCCAUCCAAGUCUGAGAAUGGGGCUCCCACUCUGCAGGCAUUCGAUAUCCAUGGCGAACCGGUGUCCCUGCCACGUCACCCAUUUUCAGACACUCUCUCUCAAGCUAGAGACGAAAGCCAAGACUUGCGGACUCCAACGGGGAAAGAGAACAAAAUUUAUGCAC
Molecule: unclassified non-coding RNA, 1391 nt
Filed under: Hevea brasiliensis (rubber tree)
Lineage: Eukaryota; Viridiplantae; Streptophyta; Magnoliopsida; Malpighiales; Euphorbiaceae
Source: RNAcentral